UGGCCGGGGGCCCUGGCCCCAAACCCGGUGGNAGUAAUGGUGGCCUUAAAUUUCGGAAUGCAAACCCGGAAAGAAACCUUAACCCGGGCCCUUUGGCCCAUUGCAAUUUGGGUAGAACCCCAUGGAAAAGUGGGGAACGACUCCGCCAAAGGGGGAGGGAUGGCACAGGGUUGCUUCCAUGGGCUGUCGUUCAAGCUCCGUUUUCGUGGAAGAUGUUGGGGUUAAAUUCCCGCAAACGAGCGCAAACCCCCUAUGUCCCUGUUGGCCACCCCGGUCGAGAGACUGGAGCACUCUGGACAGACUGCCUCGCUUAAACGGGGAGGAAGGUGGGGAUGACGUCAAGUCAGUAUGGCCCUUACGGCCAGGGCUGCACACGUACUACAAUGCCCGGCACAAAGGGAAGCAAGACCGUCAGGUGGAGCAAAUCCCAUAAAACCGGGCCCAGUUCAGAUUGCCGUCUGCAACUCGACGGCAUGAAGUUGGAAUCGCUAGUAAUGGCGCAUCAGCUACGGCGCCGUGAAUACGUUCCCAGGCCUUGUACACACCGCCCGUCACAUCAUGAAAGCCGGUUGUACCCGAAGUCGCUGUGUUAACCGCAAGGAAACAGGUGCCGAAGGUAUGGCUGGUGAUUGGGAUGAAGUCGUAACAAGGUAGCCGUAGGGGAACCUGCGGCUGGAUCAC
This 681-nucleotide ribosomal RNA is filed under the name uncultured Verrucomicrobiota bacterium. RNAcentral's name for it is "bacterial SSU rRNA". It matches the Rfam family "Bacterial small subunit ribosomal RNA", at positions 958 to 1526 of the family's 1533-position model. Lineage: Bacteria; Pseudomonadati; Verrucomicrobiota. The record is from RNAcentral.